AGGGUUCGACUCCGGAGAGGGAGCCUGAGAAACGGCUACCACAUCCAAGGAAGGCAGCAGGCGCGAAAAUUACCCAAUUUUAGUUUAAAGAGGUAGUGACGAAAAAUGACAACCAAAUAUUAUUAUUAAUAUUUGGAUUGAAAAUCUUCAAGUUUAAAUAACUUGUUGGUAAAGGAAAGGGCAAGUCUGGUGCCAGCAGCCGCGGUAAUACCAGCUUUCCAAGUGCAUAAAAUGAUUGUUGUGGUUAAAAAGCUCGUAGUUGGAUUAUAAAGAUUGUGUAAUGAACAUCUUGGAUGUUUUUUCAUUACCAUCUUAUCAUUUUAUUAUAUUAGAAAUAAUAUAAUAACUGUUACUUUGAAUAAAUCAGAGGGUUCAAACCAGGCAUUAUAUGCUUGUAUGGUCUAGC
RNAcentral lists this ribosomal RNA (406 nucleotides) under Strongyloides sp. ex Grus americana W292. RNAcentral's name for it is "SSU rRNA". It matches the Rfam family "Eukaryotic small subunit ribosomal RNA", at positions 372 to 808 of the family's 1831-position model. Lineage: Eukaryota; Metazoa; Nematoda; Chromadorea; Rhabditida; Strongyloididae. The record is from RNAcentral.